UACAGAGGUCUCAAGCGUUGUUCGGAUUCAUUGGGCGUGAAGGGUGCGUAGGUGGCGCCGUAAGUCGGGUGUGAAAUUUCGGAGCUUAACUCCGAAACUGCAUUCGAUACUGCGGUGCUUGAGGACUGGAGAGGAGACUGGAAUUCAUGGUGUAGCAGUGAAAUGCGUAGAGAUGCGGAGGAACACCGAUGGCGAAGGCAGCCCCCUGGGCCAAUACUGACGCUCAGGCACGAAAGCGUGGGGAGCAAACAGG
Molecule: ribosomal RNA, 253 nt
Filed under: uncultured bacterium
Lineage: Bacteria
Description: partial 16S ribosomal RNA
Rfam family: Bacterial small subunit ribosomal RNA
Source: RNAcentral